UUUUGUGUCCUUAUUUAAAUCCCCAUUCUUGAUUCCAGACUAACUCUCAUAUAUAUACGUAAAUGUACGAAAGCUUGGCACGUCGAACACGGAAACCCGGAAAUCUUUUCACCGUUGCCGUUUUUAUACUAUGACGCAAAAUCCAUGGACGCUCGUCUGCUGCUGAAUUCAUGUUUUACUGUUUAAAAAGAAUGGACAAAGAUAGUCAGAUAGUUGAUACAAAGACCUUUGAUUUUUCAAACUGAUGGAUCAAAAAGUUAUUAUAAACAGAUAUAUUGAAAUGGCCGACUCAAAAUCAUGCUGUUAAUUAGGGCCCCCUGUUGUACAUGUACUUAGGAAUCGGACACCUCCAGAAGAUGAAAGAUCUACUUUACAUCUUUUUCAACGAAAGUACAAUUACUUUGAGAAGUAGGAGAAGCUAAGCAACAGGACAGAAUUCAUUUGAGGCAUUGCUUUCUAGAUUAUAAAGUGGAGUCAUAGAUUGUCCUAUUGAUAAUGAUUUAUGUGCAUAUGAGGAGCAGUAGUCAAUGAAUAAUUUUGUGAUGAGAGCUGUACAUUGUAUUACAACAAAUGGACAGAGGAGUUGACUAUUGAUAGUGACUGAUAAUGGACUGGAGUAACCUAGGGUCCAAUGACUCCAUGCCUGACAGUCCAUGUGUACAUGUAUGUCAACAGCCAAUUCCAAGUAACCUUAAACAUAUA
Mytilus californianus (California mussel) is the source of this 702-nucleotide long non-coding RNA. RefSeq lists it as uncharacterized. The record is from RefSeq and is a predicted model, not a curated record. The transcript has 4 exons. NCBI's taxonomy places the organism in Eukaryota, Metazoa, Mollusca, Bivalvia, Mytilida, Mytilidae.